ACGGGUGAGUAAUGCAUCGGAACGUGCCCAAUCGUGGGGGAUAACGCAGCGAAAGCUGUGCUAAUACCGCAUACGAUCUACGGAUGAAAGCAGGGGAUCGCAAGACCUUGCGCGAAUGGAGCGGCCGAUGGCAGAUUAGGUAGUUGGUGAGGUAAAGGCUCACCAAGCCUUCGAUCUGUAGCUGGUCUGAGAGGACGACCAGCCACACUGGGACUGAGACACGGCCCAGACUCCUACGGGAGGCAGCAGUGGGGAAUUUUGGACAAUGGGCGAAAGCCUGAUCCAGCCAUGCCGCGUGCAGGAUGAAGGCCUUCGGGUUGUAAACUGCUUUUGUACGGAACGAAACGGUCUUUUCUAAUAAAGAAGGCUAAUGACGGUACCGUAAGAAUAAGCACCGGCUAACUACGUGCCAGCAGCCGCGGUAAUACGUAGGGUGCAAGCGCUAAUCGGAAUUACUGGGCGUAAAGCGUGCGCAGGCGGUGAUGUAAGACAGUUGUGAAAUCCCCGGGCUCAACCUGGGAACUGCAUCUGUGACUGCAUCGCUGGAGUACGGCAGAGGGGGAUGGUAUUCCGCGUGUAGCAGU
Molecule: ribosomal RNA, 584 nt
Filed under: uncultured Variovorax sp.
Lineage: Bacteria; Pseudomonadati; Pseudomonadota; Betaproteobacteria; Burkholderiales; Comamonadaceae
Description: bacterial SSU rRNA
Rfam family: Bacterial small subunit ribosomal RNA
Source: RNAcentral